Molecule: non-coding RNA, 82 nt
Organism: Hemiscyllium ocellatum (epaulette shark)
Lineage: Eukaryota; Metazoa; Chordata; Chondrichthyes; Orectolobiformes; Hemiscylliidae
Source: the annotation of a RefSeq genome assembly
GCUGUGAUGGCCGAGUGGUUAAGGCGUUGAAUUUGAAAUUCAAUGGGGCUUCCCCUCGUAGGUUCGAAUCCCGCUCGGAGCG